RNAcentral lists this ribosomal RNA (253 nucleotides) under uncultured bacterium. RNAcentral's name for it is "partial 16S ribosomal RNA". It matches the Rfam family "Bacterial small subunit ribosomal RNA", at positions 524 to 776 of the family's 1533-position model. The record is from RNAcentral.
UACAGAGGGUGCGAGCGUUGUCCGGAAUCACUGGGCGUAAAGGGCGCGUAGGUGGCGACCCAAGUCUGUGGUGAAAGCUCGCCGCUUAACGGCGAGUCGGCCACGGAUACUGGGUGACUCGAGCACUGUAGGGGCAGAUGGAAUUCCGGGUGUAGCGGUGGAAUGCGUAGAGAUCCGGAAGAACACCGGUGGCGAAGGCGGUCUGCUGGGCAGUAGCUGACACUGAGGCGCGACAGCGUGGGGAGCAAACAGG